Molecule: non-coding RNA, 126 nt
Filed under: Jatropha curcas
Lineage: Eukaryota; Viridiplantae; Streptophyta; Magnoliopsida; Malpighiales; Euphorbiaceae
Description: Bacterial small subunit ribosomal RNA
Rfam family: Bacterial small subunit ribosomal RNA
Source: Rfam by way of RNAcentral
CACCGCCAGUCACACUAUGGGAGCUGGCCAUGCCUGAAGUCAUUGCUUUAACCACGAGGAGGGGAUGCCGAAGGCAGGGUUAUUGACUGGAGUGAAGUCGUAAUUAGGUAGUCCUCCAAAUUGCUG